RNAcentral lists this ribosomal RNA (692 nucleotides) under uncultured Bacteroidota bacterium. RNAcentral's name for it is "bacterial SSU rRNA". It matches the Rfam family "Bacterial small subunit ribosomal RNA", at positions 28 to 711 of the family's 1533-position model. Lineage: Bacteria; Pseudomonadati; Bacteroidota. The record is from RNAcentral.
GAUGAACGCUAGCGGCAGGCUUAAUACAUGCAAGUCGAGGGGCAGCAGGACUGUAGCAAUACAGUUGCUGGCGACCGGCAAACGGGUGCGGAACACGUACGCAACCUUCCUUCAAAUGGGGGAUAGCCCACCGAAAGGUGGAUUAAUACCCCGUAACAUUUUCUGGUGGCAUCACCGGAUCAUUAUAGCUACGGCGUUUGAAGAUGGGCGUGCGGCUGAUUAGGUAGUUGGCGGAGUAACAGCCCACCAAGCCUACGAUCAGUAACUGGUGUGAGAGCACGACCAGUCACACGGGCACUGAGACACGGGCCCGACUCCUACGGGAGGCAGCAGUAAGGAAUAUUGGUCAAUGGACGCAAGUCUGAACCAGCCAUGCCGCGUGGAGGAUGAAGGUCCUCUGGAUUGUAAACUUCUUUUAUCGGAGAAGAAACCCUCAAAUUCUUUUGAGGUUGACGGUACCCGAUGAAUAAGCACCGGCUAACUCCGUGCCAGCAGCCGCGGUAAUACGGAGGGUGCAAGCGUUAUCCGGAUUCACUGGGUUUAAAGGGAGCGUAGGUGGGGUGGUAAGUCAGUGGUGAAAUCUCCGGGCUUAACCCGGAAACUGCCGUUGAUACUAUCAUUCUUGAAUAUUGUGGAGGUAAGCGGAAUAUGUCAUGUAGCGGUGAAAUGCUUAGAUAUGACAUAGAACACCG